GAUGAACGCUAGCUACAGGCUUAACACAUGCAAGUCGAGGGGAAACGACAUCGAAAGCUUGCUUUUGAUGGGCGUCGACCGGCGCACGGGUGAGUAACGCGUAUCCAACCUGCCCACCACUUGGGGAUAACCUUGCGAAAGUAAGACUAAUACCCAAUGAUAUCUCUAGAAGACAUCUGAAAGAGAUUAAAGAUUUAUCGGUGAUGGAUGGGGAUGCGUCUGAUUAGCUUGUUGGCGGGGUAACGGCCCACCAAGGCGACGAUCAGUAGGGGUUCUGAGAGGAAGGUCCCCCACAUUGGAACUGAGACACGGUCCAAACUCCCACGGGAGGCAGCAGUGAGGAAUAUUGGUCAAUGGGCGAGAGCCUGAACCAGCCAAGUCGCGUGCAGGAUGACGGCCCUAUGGGUUGUAAACUGCUUUUAUAAGGGAAUAAAGUGAGUCUCGUGAGACUUUUUGCAUGUACCUUAUGAAUAAGGACCGGCUAAUUCCGUGCCAGCCGCCGCAGUAA
Molecule: ribosomal RNA, 508 nt
Filed under: uncultured bacterium
Lineage: Bacteria
Description: partial 16S ribosomal RNA
Rfam family: Bacterial small subunit ribosomal RNA
Source: RNAcentral